GGAGGAAAAGAAACCAACAGGGAUUGCCUCAGUAGCGGCGAGUGAAGCGGCAAGAGCUCAGAUUUGAAAUCUCACCUAGUGUGCGAGUUGUAAAUUGCAGGUUGGAGUCUCGGGUUAGACGUGUGUGCAAGUCCCUUGGAACAGGGUGCCACUGAGGGUGAGAGCCCCGUAGCGUGCAUGUCGACACCUGUGAGGCCCUUCUGACGAGUCGAGUUGUUUGGGAAUGCAGCUCUAAGUGGGUGGUAAAUUCCAUCUAAGGCUAAAUAUUGGCGAGAGACCGAUAGCGAACAAGUACUGUGAAGGAAAGAUGAAAAGCACUUUGAAAAGAGAGUGAAACAGCACGUGAAAUUGUUGAAAGGGAAGGGUAUUGGGCUCGACAUGGGAUUUACGCAUCGUUGCCUCUCGUGGGCGGCGCUCUGGGUUUUUCCUGGGCCAGCAUCGGUUUUCGUUGCAGGAUAAGGACAAUUGGAAUGUGGCUCCUCGGAGUGUUAUAGCCUUUUGUAGAUGCUGCGUAUGGGGACCGAGGGCUGCGGCGGACUCGUUUCGUCUCGGAUGCUGGCACAACGGCGCAAUACCGCCCGUC
RNAcentral lists this ribosomal RNA (583 nucleotides) under Pichia kluyveri. RNAcentral describes it as "partial large subunit ribosomal RNA". It matches the Rfam family "Eukaryotic large subunit ribosomal RNA", at positions 52 to 653 of the family's 3401-position model. The record is from RNAcentral. Lineage: Eukaryota; Fungi; Ascomycota; Pichiomycetes; Pichiales; Pichiaceae.